CAGGGGGGAGCAAGCGUUGUUCGGAUUUACUGGGCGUAAAGGGCGUGUAGGCGGCCACCGCAAGUCGACUGUGAAAUCUCCGGGCUUAACUCGGAAAGGUCAGCCGAUACUGCGGGGCUAGAGUGCAGAAGGGGCAACUGGAAUUCUCGGUGUAGCGGUGAAAUGCGUAGAUAUCGAGAGGAACACCUGCGGCGAAGGCGGGUUGCUGGGCUGACACUGACGCUGAAACGCGAAAGCUAGGGGAGCGAACGGGAUUAGAUACCCCGGUAGUCCUAGCCUUAAACGAUGAAUGCUUGGUGUCUGGGGUUUUAUAGUCCCCGGGUGCCGUCGCUAACGCUUUAAGCAUUCCGCCUGGGGAGUACGGUCGCAAGACUG
RNAcentral lists this ribosomal RNA (375 nucleotides) under uncultured organism. RNAcentral describes it as "bacterial SSU rRNA". It matches the Rfam family "Bacterial small subunit ribosomal RNA", at positions 525 to 896 of the family's 1533-position model. The record is from RNAcentral.